UAAACUCCUGUUAAGUGGGAAAAAAGAAUUGCUCUGAAUAGGAGCAAGAGAUGAUGGUACCACUAGAGAAAGCACCGGCUAACUUCGUGC
Molecule: ribosomal RNA, 90 nt
Filed under: uncultured bacterium
Lineage: Bacteria
Description: partial 16S ribosomal RNA
Source: RNAcentral